GUCAGUCCCAUGAAUCCCUUCCUCUUGAUUCACGAACCUAAUUGUGAGGUGCUAAGGGUCAUUCUGGGGGAUCUAUGGAGUAAGCUUCGGGUGGUUAACGUCUUCUAAAUUACCUAUAGUGUCUUUCACUUCGGGUUCUAUUUGUCUAAGGAAGAGUUGGUUAACAGCGCAUGAUAUCCUACUCAGGGGUAUUUCGGAAGGUUUUAGAUAAGAGAGACGACUGACGGCUUGCGUUAUGUUUACAUAUUAGGUUCGGAAGGACCUUUAUUUGAUGUUUUAGGAUACAGCGAAAUUCUCUUUACGCAGCACUAGGAAUUUACACAUGGUUGCACCAAGUCGAACCAUGAUUAAUAAAGUCGUCGAAGUUGGCAUACAUCGACACGAUAUAGAAUGAGAGUUGAUAAGGUCAUGUGUUGAACGGGCACACAAGUUCUAGGUGUAUAUCACUGUCGUGGAUACUUGGACUAAUAGAGUCGAUGCGGAACUGUAGAGGGUCCUGAGUUUCCGGAAUAACGUACUUUUCAUGAAUGGAUUCUCACAAGGUCUUUCUAUAAUCGCCUAACAUAUACUAGUCAUGUAUAAUUUAGGUGGGGAGGACUGUUGACUGAGCCACUCCGCCUUAAAUCCACAACUAAACAAGGAACAAGAAAUGAGGCAGCAUCACUCACUCUAGGUCUAUCUAUCUUAAUUGUACAUGGCUUUGAUGUAUAUGUCGAGCCAUUAUAGCUCUACCUGAUGAAAAUUUUGAAUUCUUACAACAGUGCUGCGACUUUCACCUUAACGGAAGAGUAAUUACUUUUAGAAUUAACCUUUUAAUGUUUUCGGUUAGUUAUCUGAGAUUGAGAGACGUACCAAACUUUUACCGGGUUCAUUGACGCUUCUUCCUAGGCAUUAGAGUUAGACUCCUCCUGCGCCAUUGUCGUUCCUUUCAGUUGGGCAGUCCCGCUUGAGGUGCCCAAUCUCACCACAUAGAUGGCAAAUUGGAUUGAUCGCCACAUCGAUGGUUGGUGUAAUGAACUCAAUCAGGGUUCUGCAGACGCGAGCGGUAUGCCCCCUUCAUGUUGCAUCUGGUACAACAGAGUUCGCGACAUAUUCCAUGAUGAUGGUAGCUACACUUGCUGCAGUGGGGAAGGUUUCCUAGGUAUGGUCUACUAGGUGGCGGGAUGGAAGGGAUGCCAAGGGUAUUGACUGACUCAGCUUGUUGCCCUUCGGAGGAUCAUUGAGUCGUGGUACUUCCCUCCUGGUUCUUAAACUUUCUCUUCAGUGGGGUUGGCUGAGGUUCUUGGGGGGCUGGGUACGUAGGAGUUGGUUUCUGCUGUCCAUUGCUAGGAUCAGGAAUCCCGAUAGGGAUCUUGCUAACAUUGGCGUUGUUAGCAUUCAGAUGAGCCAUGACAGCUGCUACGGUUGCUGAGACUACAACUUGGAACGUAGCUUCAUCGAAUAGGAGAGUCGGUUUCAUGCCAGCGGACUGGUUACGCUUCUUCGGAGGCAUGGUUUUCCUACACUGAAAGGAACACAAGCUGAUGAGAGACGAUGGUUAACCCUGGACGUAUCUAUCCUCACUAUAAUAGGUAUAAUUUUUCCUGCGCCACGGAUAUUGGUUAUGUGAGUGUCGACCUACAUUCCUAUGAUGCAGUUCGUGAAUUCAAGGUAGGAGUAAGGGUAUCGGAAAGCCAUAAGAUGGGUGUCAUUCCUACAAGGUUAUCUUUAUACUUGAAAAGUUCACUCUCUGGCUUGGAAAGAUUUGAGGGAAGUUCGGAACGAGGAUCACGAAAGAAAAGGGCUCGUGCAAACUUAUGGCUAAACACUCUCAAUAAAGGUGUGGGGAUCCGCUCUAAUCAUAUUACUUGCGGCGGGAAAAGGCGAUUUACCUAACACAUAAUGUGAGUAGUGUAAUCACUAACUCACUAAAUUGUAUUAUUUUAUGGGUGUAUUAGCGCGACUAUAACGAGGAAAAGACACUCCUCGGGUUCCAUGUACUGGCUCCCUCUGUCUACCUCUUAUCCUUGACUGGGGUCGGCAUUGGUUUUCUUCGGGUAGUUACUUAGGGUUCUCUUCUCAUGUAAACAUAUUGAACUUCUACUCCGUCUUACUUCCGAUUCUGACUCUGAGUGUCAGCGAUGUCUUACUUCUGAUCCUGGGCCUGAGUGUCAUCGCUUCACGAUGGAUGACUGGAAAUCUUGGAAGUUCAGGUGGAUUUCCCACCGGUGCCCCUAAAAGGUAUAGGCACCUGGUGAUUUCCAUAGUCUCGUCCUAGUUCAUUUAUUUCCAAACUAGAAAUCUUCUCAAUGAACCUCUUAUGGGUCUGAAUCAACUCUUCUGUCGAAUACUGAAGUGGAUAGGGUUUUCUACAGGGUUCGUGAGAGAAUGGAAAUGUCUAAAGAAUCCUAAGAGAUUAUUAACAUUUCACUGGGCGAUCCAUAUCGAGUCCUGCUAAAAUUACAUAGGGUAUACAAAUUAUAUAUAGCUUAGAUCCGAUAGGACUUCGAAUAUGUGAUACUACUCUAUAUCCACAUCCAAACAAGGAAAAGGAAAUAGAGCGAAACCACACAUUCUUAGUCUAUGGGAUCCUUACUAUAUAUAACCUUGGAAGUAUACCCUCUGUAAUCAUAGGUAUAUCAAUAAGGAUCUUUUUAGUUUUUCACACAAGGUUAUCUAUGGAUCCUAAAAUACCCCUAUGGUAUUUUAAUUUCUUGUUUGAUUCUUAACUUCUGAAUAUGAUUCUGGGAUUAAUGUGAGUCUUUUAGUAUUCCAAAAUACUCCCAUAGUAUUUUAAACUUUAUGUUUGGCUCUAGCAUUCCUAGUUGGUAAGUUUCAGAUUCGUUGCAACACCACUAUCACUCCCAAGCACACGUUGGUCGCAUCUCGAAUAAAUGUAGUUGAUUAGGUUACAUUUAUUCCAGCUUACGACUACAUAACUGCCCAGGUUUGACGGUAAUGGUCAACAUCCAAAGACUUUUAUUUGUUCUUCUUUUGAUACUUUUGUUCGAGUGUUUAGAUUCUGAAUGUUCUUAUACUUUGGUAAAAUAUGGUUAUAUUUUAAAGUAUAAUUCUUGGUCAGAGUGUUUUAUCCCUAUGUAUUUAUAGGCUGUAUAUCUUUUAUGAAUUGAUAUACUUAGCUCACUAUAAACAAUGCUCUGAUACCAAUCUGUCACACCCCAAAACCGGAACGGCGGAAACGUUCUGGGGUGGAUGACGUCAUGUCAAGUAUCACAACAUAUGCAGUAUAGUAAUCAAAGUACAACAACCAUUGCAUUAAUAGUAAUAUUUUACAUAGUUUACAUUUCAAAUGAAUGAUACAGCUAGCAAGGUCUAAAACAUGGAAGUAAUCCUAAGAGUGUUGUUUCAAGAAUACAGUGUUAAAUUCUCGUUACCUUAAGGCCAUGAAUUAUAGGGUAAACAUGGAGAUACUCGUAACCAUACUAAUGGACAUUAGAGUACCUAACGCCCUGCAAGCGUCAUAAUAAUGUGACAUUUGUCACCCCUUGGCUUGGUAGGCCGUGGAUUGUAGCUAGCAGUCAGGGUGCGGGAGUGUCAGUCCCGUAUAGAUCUACACACACAAUGCCUGCUCUCCCUACAGGAGACUCUGGUUACUAAUUGGACCACGGGGAAAUCCGUGUCCUGAAGAUGCAUCUCGUAUACUGAAUUCUAUUAGAGGGGUUGGGGAAAUGAUAUAGACUCGCGAAUGAACUGACUCCUUUGGAAUUCUCGUACUAGAAAGAGUAAAUAGAACCUCCUAACUAUUCCUAUAAUAAUUACUAGUGUCACUGAAUCUAUGAAUGAUGAAUGGAAGGAUGCGCUUGCUACCCAAGGGAAAUGAACUGGUCGAUGUAAACCUUAAUGUCUAUACGUGUAUUCAUGUUAUUUAACUAAUGUUUAAACGACCUUCGAACGGAUAUCCGAUACCCACCAGACCACAUCAAAACAAGGAAAAGGAAACAGGGCGAUCUAGCCUUCCUAUGUCCUUUAAACAUUAUUUCUAUAACUAUACAAAUAUAGGCAUGCAUUUAACAAAAUAAAUGCAUCGAAGGAUACGAAGUAAAAGUGUAAAGGGAUACUUUGACAAAACUUUUGGAAAACCUUUAACAAGAAAUUGCGACUUGAUUUCAUUCUAUAAAUCAACUUUGAAAACCUAAGGAAAAUCUUUGAAAAACCUUCGGAAAACCUUUCGAAUACUUAUGAUAAUUUUUAAAGAGAUAUUCAUACUUUAACAAGAACUGAAAGCGAGAUUGGGAAAACCUUUUGUUAGAUGAAACAGUUUAACAUGUAAAAUCCAUUUGCUAUACAGUUAUUAAUCACAUGGGAUUUAUUAAUAACUGUACAGUUCAACUUGUAUUCCCCCCUAUAAAAGCAGUUAAAACCAUUUAAAAGGUUAAUUCAAGGGUAUGAACUCACCUGUUGUAAGUGGAUCGGACGGAGGUGUCGGUAGGGUGCUCGGUGUCAAGUGAAGACUUGAACCCACUUAAUGACCUAAUAACAUAUGAUGACAUAUGUUUACAUACAAUUAGUGUUUAUAAUACUAAUUAAACAUUUUUAAGCAUCCUAAUGUGCAGAAAACACUUUGGUCAAGUGCUAGGAGGCUAUUGGGUUGCAAUAAGUGAGUGUAUGGCCUAGCUAGGGAGUUUACUCUUCAAGAGUAAACUCUUUAUAGAGUUUACGGCCCUAAGACCAUAUCCCCAUGAGUUUACGGCCGUAAAAUCAUGGGUGGUGUUUUCUUGGAUGUUUUAAUGUCUUAAAUGAAAGGGUAUAAAGUUCUAUGCAUUUUUCCAAGCCAUAUAGGGAAGUUAGGGCAUCAUUUGGCCUCUUUAAGGGAGUUUACGGUCCAUGGACCAAUCCUUGGGGGGUUUACGGCCAUAAACUCCUAUGUCCAUAGUUUCUUUAAUGUUUAAAUCCCUAACUUCAAUUGUGGUUGAUUCUAGACAUCUACCCGAGCCAUAGGAGGUGUUUGAGGGCAAUUCUAACACCUUAAAAGGUGUUCACGGCCCUUGAAGAGGGGUUUACGGUCCAAGAGUGAUCUUGGGCCGUAACUCAUGUUUACUCCUCAAAAUACAAGGUUUUGGUGUUCUAAGCUCGAAGGUGUUAGUCCACAAGUCAUAUCUAAGCCCUAGGGGUGAUUUAUGAGGGUUUUGGGGCUUCAAAACCCCACUUAAGGGUGUUUACGGUCCAAGAGUGAUCUUGGUCCGUAAACACAUGAUUUGGCCCCUAUUGGAUGUCUUAAACACGAAUUUGCAUGUUAAAUGAGCUAAACAACAAGUUAGGGUAGAUCACUUACUAGUUUGGGGCUCGAAAUGGGCAGUUUUUGGAUCGAAAGCAACUUGUAGAGAGAGAGUGAAGAGAGAGAGUGAAAAGGGUGUAAAUGGAGUCCACUCCCCCUUAUAUAGGGGUUGAGCUUGUGGCUCUGUGGAAAUCUACCCAAUACUGACGUUAAACGGGGCUUUUGGUCGCACCCGAUUAAAUGGUCGUAUUUUGACUUGACUGAAACUAAAAUUUUUCAAGGGAAAAUUGAGGGUGUUUCUAAUUUGUUCCAACCCUUAUGAAGUCAUAAUAAAGUCCCAAUUUAAUUAACCUAAUCCAAAAAGGUUAACGGACCAUUUAAUAAAGCGAGUCUUAUUAACGGAAAAGAGGAUAAAAUGACGGGGUAAAUUUCGGGUUGUCACAUCAUCCCCUCGUUAGAGGGAAUUUCGUCCUGAAAUUAGAGUUUACGCAGGGAAGUACGUAUGAACAAUCAAGUAAAGAGAUGCGGGUACUUCCUGUUCAUCUGGUCCUCGCGCUCCCAUGUGAACUCCGGUUUCACUUAACGGGAUGCGGAUUUCGAUUCGUCCAGUUAGCGAUUUCUACGGUUCGUCUAUGAAGUUAGGGUUCCCAAUGGUUUCUAUCGAGAUGAGUGGGAUACAAAGAGUGACGUCGGGCAAACACUUUUCAAGUCUAAGAAGUGGAUUGAUUUGGGUUGAAACUAAUGGAAUUUCCGAGAGUAGUCGUGGUCUGACGAGGGUUAGACCAAUUUUGUAAAGAAUCUCGGAUGGUCCUAAGCUCUCGGAAAGGUAGAGCUUUUCAGUACUUAGAACAUAGUGUACUUCUAUGGCGAGAUCAUCACUGGCGUGAUUGCCAAUCUGAAGUUCUAAAAAGUUCUCUCUUACUGAGGGUGUAGUUCCCAGGUUGGUUCUUAGAAGGUUCAGGUUAUCCUCGGAUUCAUGUUUCCUGCUGACUGGCCUUCAGAGGUUUCCUGGAUCAUUGGAUGAAUUGGAUGUCUACGGGUAUCUAUUCACUGCAGUGUGACUAUCUCAAUCUUGUGCAAAAUGAACUUGCACUCCUGAUUCUUGAGAUGUUUCUAACGGAAACUCUCAGGGUCGGUGAGAUAGGGUUUCGACUAGAUGAUUGUUCAGAAAGUCUUUAAACUUCUCAUCAUCGCCUAGUUGACGCUUUCACAAUAUGAUUCCUAACAAGAAGGAAUCAUUCUCUUACUUACUUUGUUGUUUCAUGAAUAGCAAUCUUUGCCUAGGGCUGACUCGGUCCUUAGAGAUUUUCUGAAGUGUUGGACUAUCUCGGGAGGUGGUUCUACUAUUUCUGUGUGAGAUAGUAUUCUUGGAACACCUAGUAGUCCAAUGAAUCUCUAAGACAUGCCCUAUUCUCCAAGGUGUUGGUUUAUUCCAGUUCCAGAAAUUACGUUUUCUUGUAUAACCCAUCGACUAACACCUAGACUGGUGUCAAGUCCAUAAUCUCACCGGGAUCUGGGUUAUAAGGCUUUACGCAACAUACUUUCGUACUUUAUUCAAGUAUUCUUGGCUGCGGAGGCUAUCUUGUGGUUCUUGGCAUUCUAGUAUUCACUUCGGAGAAUGCAGUCUAUCGUCUACAGGGUGACGGUGACUUCUUCCACGUGAGGAGGCGGAGUGUCCUAAGCACUACUCGUCAGAAAAGGGGUGGACGAAGAGCCUGAAUAAGGCGAUCAUCUUCUGCAACUACUCCCCCGGUGGUUCUGAGUUUUCUUGAUUUAGGUUAAGUCUAGAAGUAUAGGGUUCCAUUACUCGGAACUUCUAGCCUCCUCAUCCACUCUUCUCAAAGUUUAACUUAUCGCAGCUUCCGGAUUUCCGAAAUACCCACUGACAUGCUUAAUUCGGGGGAUAAAACGUGAAUGGAUGGUCGUAGUUAACGUCCUUUACUCUUACGACCCAGAUUUCUUCCCCAAUUGAGGGUGUUAGCUACUAUGUUGGCUUAACCGGGAUGACAACAAAUUUCGGAUUUGUGGUCAUUACAGUAGCUCAACUCGCAGUGGUUCUCUUGACUCUAGUUUCUAUUCUAUGGGAUAAGGUGAAGGGUUUUACUAUGAGGUUCGUGGUGGAGCUCAUACUUGGCUUAACCACUAAUACUUGGUGUACGCAAGCCGUAUAUAAUUGAGGUCGACUGGAUGUUCAGUUGUGCGACUCCAGUCCCAUGAAUCCCUUCCUCUUGAUUCACGAACCUAAUUGUGUGGUGCUAAGGUUCUUUCUGGGCGAUCUACGGAGUAAGCUUCGGGUGGCCAACGUCUUCUGAAUUACCUGCAGUGUCUUUCACUUCGGGUUCUAUUUGUCUAAGGAAGAGUUGGUAAACAGUGCACGAUAUCCUACUCAGGGGUACUUCAGAAGGUUUUAGAUAAGAGAGACGACUGACGCCUCGCGUUAUGUUUACAUAUUAGGUUCGGAAGGACCUUUAUUUGAUGUUUUAGGAUACAAUGAAAGUUCUCUUUACGCAGCACUAGGAAUUUACACAUGGUUGCACCAAGUCGAACCAUGAUUGAUAGAGGCGUCGAAGUUGGCAAACAUCGACACGAUAUAGAAUGAGAGUUGAU
This 7822-nucleotide long non-coding RNA is filed under the name Lactuca sativa (garden lettuce). Its description in RNAcentral is "long non-coding RNA (LSAT_LNC000588)". Lineage: Eukaryota; Viridiplantae; Streptophyta; Magnoliopsida; Asterales; Asteraceae. The record is from RNAcentral.